This 253-nucleotide ribosomal RNA is filed under the name uncultured bacterium. Its description in RNAcentral is "partial 16S ribosomal RNA". It matches the Rfam family "Bacterial small subunit ribosomal RNA", at positions 524 to 776 of the family's 1533-position model. The record is from RNAcentral.
UACGUAGGGGGCAAGCGUUGUCCGGAAUCAUUGGGCGUAAAGCGCGUGUAGGCGGUUCGGUAAGUCUGCUGUGAAAGUCCAGGGCUCAACCCUGGGAUGCCGGUGGAUACUGUCGGACUAGAGUACGGAAGAGGCGAGUGGAAUUCCCGGUGUAGCGGUGAAAUGCGCAGAUAUCGGGAGGAACACCAAUUGCGAAGGCAGCUCGCUGGGACGGUACUGACGCUGAGACGCGAAAGCGUGGGGAGCGAACAGG